GAUGAACGCUGGCGGCGUGCCUAAUACAUGCAAGUCGAGCGAACGGACGAGAAGCUUACUUCUCUGAUGUUAGCGGCGGACGGGUGAGUAACACGUGGAUAACCUACCUAUAAGACUGGGAUAACUUCGGGAAACCGGAGCUAAUACCGGAUAAUAUUUUGAACCGCAUGGUUCAAAAGUGAAAGACGGUCUUGCUGUUACUUAUAGAUGGAUCCGCGCUGCAUUAGCUAGUUGGUAAGGUAACGGCUUACCAAGGCAACGAUGCAUAGCCGACCUGAGAGGGUGAUCGGCCACACUGGAACUGAGACACGGUCCAGACUCCUACGGGAGGCAGCAGUAGGGAAUCUUCCGCAAUGGGCGAAAGCCUGACGGAGCAACGCCGCGUGAGUGAUGAAGGUCUUCGGAUCGUAAAACUCUGUUAUUAGGGAAGAACAUAUGUGUAAGUAACUGUGCACAUCUUGACGGUACCUAAUCAGAAAGCCACGGCUAACUACGUG
Molecule: ribosomal RNA, 497 nt
Filed under: uncultured bacterium
Lineage: Bacteria
Description: partial 16S ribosomal RNA
Rfam family: Bacterial small subunit ribosomal RNA
Source: RNAcentral